Non-coding RNA from Anas platyrhynchos (mallard), 2533 nucleotides. The record is from RefSeq and is a predicted model, not a curated record. NCBI's taxonomy places the organism in Eukaryota, Metazoa, Chordata, Aves, Anseriformes, Anatidae.
AGAGAGCCCCCUCCCCUUCUCUCCUUCUGCAUCUCAGUUGCCUCUUUUGUUUAAAGACCCUUCUGCAAAGCUCAUGUAACCAUCUCCUGAUAAGUUGCUAACCGAGUGUAUCAACAUCCUGCCUUUCUGUCUCAUGCUGGGCCAACAGGACCAAAUAAAAAAGAAGUUGAACCACAACGCCGAGGAAGACCACGGCCUUCAUCUUCACGAGCACCAGAGGGACAGAGACGACCCCCUAGCAACAGUUGCAGAAUAUACCAGGAUGUGCUGCGUAAUCCCAGAAUUACCAAGAUAUAAAAAGGGACCCUGGCGGGGGUGAGGUGCGCGCCGUUGGUGGAAGUCGAGACUCCCCGGCCUGCCCAGCGCUGUUUGCUUGCUGUUGCUUACUCAAUAAAUUCCUUUCUAUUCUUAAUGCAAUGCUCUCUGAAAAUUAAUUAAGGGGGUGACUUAUAACAAAUUUGGUGCCGUGACUCGGAUGAAGGCAAUCUGAUUGAAAGACCUUCGGAGGGGGCGCCCCGCUGAUUUCAGCGGCCUUCACUAGGAUUACUUUCAUUCAAAUCCUUCACCGACGAACCCUAAAUUCAGCAGCAAGCAAAUAAAGCCGGCAACCCCUAGUAAUCUUUGUGCAUGAAGACCGAACGAAGACUCAGGAGUGAAAACGGCUGUUCGAACUGCGGAGAAAGGAUGGACGCAUGCCAGCCGUGUGAAAGGACCAAUCCGGGAAGGUAAAUGGGAGGCAGCUCCAGGCCCUGACGACUUGCAGCUGACACUAAGACGGACUCGAUAAGUAUUGUGUAUUAUCUGUGUAUCGUGGGAAGGGGAGGAGGCCCUGUUUCAAAGGCUCCCUAGUAGGUUCCCCUGAAGAACACUGCUGCUGCCAAGAAGAACCGAUACCUUGUAGUUCGCUGCAACCGAACUGACAAGCGAGGCUGAGAAGUGAAAACGGUGGGGGACUGAGGGGCCGACAAUUUAGAUGGGCUCCGACCACCUCCUACGAUACAUGGGAGUCAGUAUCAUCCUUUUGGUCAGCUAUGGGUCUGCGCAUCCCCAUCAGCCUUUUAAAUGGAGCUUGAUCAGACGGAAGGAUCAAUUCGUCAUCCAGCAAACAACGACAGCGGGUGCCCCCAGUUUCUGCAUCACAUUAUGUGACCUGGUGUCAGUGCAGCCAUGCUUUAACCGAUCAGGAUUUUAUUUCUGCCCAAGUUCUAACCCGGGAAAGGGGUACUGUAAUUACCUGAACGCGUAUUAUUGUGCAUACUGGGGGUGUGAAACCAUUGUUACGGACUGGACACUCGGGGCUGGUCGGGAUAAAUUCUUACAAGUGGGAUAUGGGCCGCAAGGUUGUAACCAACAAGCAGGUCCCCGUUACAGGUGGUGAGGGCAUGGUAUAGGGUAUACAGGAACCUUCCACGGAAAUAAAGAAAUUUGCAAGGUUCUAUAUAUAAAUAUAACAAACCUGGAUUAUACUAGCUGGGUACUAGGAAAAAUGUGAGGUGUCAGAUUUUACGAACACAGAACAGAUAGGGGAGGACUCGUACUAAUAAAAAGGAGGAUGCUGAUAGGUCCCAGGCAGUAGGACCAAAUGAGGUAUUGUCAGAAAGUGUCCAGGGAAUCCAGCCUGCCAAAAAUACUACAGUGCCAACCCUCGGCAGCCCUACGAGCUCAGGUAAAACAGAGAACGAUAACAUAGCUGAGAAUAACAUAUGGGGGUGUCAUGAAUGCCAGCUACCAAUUAUUAAACAAAACAAACCCAAAUGUAACAAAACACUGUUGAUUAUGCUUUAGUAUAAGGCCUUCAUAUUAUGAUGCUAUCAGGAAUCCUGGGGAGCCCUCCCGCACAAAUGAGAACAACCCUCUACAAUGCAGUAGGGGAAAAGACAUAAGGGUAACACUAACACAAGUCACUGGAGGUGGUAGGUGUGUGGGCACGGUUCCUAGUGGGGACUGUCACCUACGUAAUAUCAUGGAGAAUGGAAAACAAUCAGCCGAGUGGUUAAUCCCAGUCAACAACGCUAGGUGGGUUUGUUUGUGAGUGGGCGUAACUCCUUGUCUAUCACUAAAACUCUUUAAUGCGUCUCGUGAUUUCUGUAUACAGGUGAUAAUUAUACCAAGGAUUCUAUACCACCCUGAGGAUUGUAUGUACACCCAGACACAGUGGCAAGUCGUCAUCUGGAAAGACGGGAACCAUUCACAGCUCUAACUUCGGCUACCCUAAUAAUCCUGGGAGGAGCUGGAGUGGGGACUGGGGUAGCCUCAUUGGUUAAACAAAAUCAGGAAUUUACUUCCUUAUGCAUUGCUGUGGACGAGGACCUGACCCAAAUUGAACAAUCCAUCUCGGCCCUGGAAAAUCUAUCAGGUCACUUUCAGAGGUAGUGUUACAAAAUCGUAGGGGAUUAGAUUUGGUAUUUUUUUACAACAGGGCGGGCUGUGUGCAGCCCUGAAAGAGGAAUGCUGUGUGUAUGCUGAUCACACUGGAGUGGUAAAAGAUACAAUGGCAAGACCCAGGGAAGGGUUGAAAAAAAAAAAAAAAAAA